UACGGAGGGGGGCUAGCGUUGUUCGGAAUUACUGGGCGUAAAGCGCACGUAGGCGGCUUUGUAAGUUAGAGGUGAAAGCCCAGGGCUUAACCCUGGAAUUGCCUUUAAGACUGCACUCGCUAGAAUUGUGGAGAGGUAAGUGGAAUUCCGAGUGUAGAGGUGAAAUUCGUAGAUAUUCGGAAGAACACCAGUGGCGAAGGCGACUUACUGGACACAUAUUGACGCUGAGGUGCGAAAGCAUGGGGAGCAAACAGG
RNAcentral lists this ribosomal RNA (255 nucleotides) under uncultured bacterium. RNAcentral's name for it is "partial 16S ribosomal RNA". It matches the Rfam family "Bacterial small subunit ribosomal RNA", at positions 524 to 776 of the family's 1533-position model. The record is from RNAcentral.